AUUGAACGCUGGCGGCAUGCUUUACACAUGCAAGUCGAACGGUAACAGCACUUCGGUGGCUGACGAGUGGCGAACGGGUGAGUAAUACAUCGGAACGUGCCUAGUAGUGGGGGAUAACUAAUCGAAAGAGUAGCUAAUACCGCAUGAGAUCUAAGGAUGAAAGCAGGGGACCUUCGGGCCUUGCGCUACUAGAGCGGUUGAUGGCAGAUUAGGUAGUUGGUGGGUUAAAAGCUUACCAAGCCGACGAUCUGUAGCUGGUCUGAGAGGACGACCGGCCACACUGGAACUGAGACACGGCCCAGACUCCUACGGGAGGCAGCAGUGGGGAAUUUUCGGCAAUGGGCGCAAGCCUGAUCCAGCAAUGCCGCGUGCAGGAUGAAGGCCUUCGGGUUGUAAACUUCUUUUGUACGGAACGAAAAGCCCUCUUCUAAUACAGGAGGGUCAUGACGGUACCGUAAGAAAAAGCACCGGCUAACUACGUG
This 482-nucleotide ribosomal RNA is filed under the name uncultured bacterium. RNAcentral's name for it is "partial 16S ribosomal RNA". It matches the Rfam family "Bacterial small subunit ribosomal RNA", at positions 30 to 507 of the family's 1533-position model. The record is from RNAcentral.